GGAUCUAUAAGCUCAAAAUGGUACGAGCGCUCGUUAAUUGAGAGGUUGAUGGUUCGAAUCCAUCUAGAUCCG
Molecule: transfer RNA, 72 nt
Filed under: Thalictrum thalictroides
Lineage: Eukaryota; Viridiplantae; Streptophyta; Magnoliopsida; Ranunculales; Ranunculaceae
Rfam family: tRNA
About the family: Transfer RNA (tRNA) molecules are approximately 80 nucleotides in length. Their secondary structure includes four short double-helical elements and three loops (D, anti-codon, and T loops).
Source: Rfam by way of RNAcentral